This is a transfer RNA of 73 nucleotides. It matches the Rfam family "tRNA". From Rfam's summary of the family: Transfer RNA (tRNA) molecules are approximately 80 nucleotides in length. Their secondary structure includes four short double-helical elements and three loops (D, anti-codon, and T loops). Further hydrogen bonds mediate the characteristic L-shaped molecular structure. tRNAs have two regions of fundamental functional importance: the anti-codon, which is responsible for specific mRNA codon recognition, and the 3' end, to which the tRNAs corresponding amino acid is attached (by aminoacyl-tRNA synthetases). tRNAs cope with the degeneracy of the genetic code in two manners: having more than one tRNA (with a specific anti-codon) for a particular amino acid; and 'wobble' base-pairing, i.e. permitting non-standard base-pairing at the 3rd anti-codon position.
GGGGUCAUAGUGUAAUCCGGUAUCACAACAGCCUCCAGAGCUGUGAAUCUGGGUUCAAAUCCCAGUGACCCCA